RNAcentral lists this ribosomal RNA (158 nucleotides) under Anaerocolumna aminovalerica. RNAcentral describes it as "partial 23S ribosomal RNA". It matches the Rfam family "Bacterial large subunit ribosomal RNA", at positions 2768 to 2925 of the family's 2925-position model. Lineage: Bacteria; Bacillati; Bacillota; Clostridia; Lachnospirales; Lachnospiraceae. The record is from RNAcentral.
ACGCUGAAGGCAUCUAAGCGUGAAGCCCCCCUCAAGAUAAGAUAUCCCAUAGCAUAAGCUAGUAAGACCCCUCGAAGACGACGAGGUAGAUAGGUUAGAGGUGGAAGUGCAGUAAUGUAUGCAGCUGACUAAUACUAAUAGGUCGAGGGCUUGACCUA